ACGGGAGGCAGCAGUGGGGAAUAUUGGGCAAUGGGGGAAACCCUGACCCAGCAACGCCGCGUGAGGGAAGAAGGCUUUCGGGUUGUAAACCUCUUUUACCAGGGACGAAGAACGUGACGGUACCUGGAGAAAAAGCAACGACUAACUACGUGCCAGCAGCCGCGGUAAUACGUAGGUUGCAAGCGUUGUCCGGAUUUACUGGGUGUAAAGGGCGUGUAGGCGGAGCUGCAAGUCAGAUGUGAAAUCCCGGGGCUCAACCCCGGAACUGCAUUUGAAACUGUAGCCCUUGAGUAUCGGAGAGGCAAGCGGAAUUCCUAGUGUAGCGGUGAAAUGCGUAGAUAUUAGGAGGAACACCAGUGGCGAAGGCGGCUUGCUGGACGACAACUGACGCUGAGGCGCGAAAGCGUGGGGAGCAACCAGG
RNAcentral lists this ribosomal RNA (421 nucleotides) under uncultured Pseudoflavonifractor sp. Its description in RNAcentral is "partial 16S ribosomal RNA". It matches the Rfam family "Bacterial small subunit ribosomal RNA", at positions 341 to 776 of the family's 1533-position model. Lineage: Bacteria; Bacillati; Bacillota; Clostridia; Eubacteriales; Oscillospiraceae. The record is from RNAcentral.